Molecule: unclassified non-coding RNA, 240 nt
Filed under: soil metagenome
Description: partial contains 5.8S ribosomal RNA, internal transcribed spacer 2, and large subunit ribosomal RNA
Source: RNAcentral
AACGCACGAGACCUGCGGACCUGCGGAGGGAUCAUUACUGAGUGAGGGCCCUCUGGGUCCAACCUCCCACCCGUGUUUAUCGUACCUUGUUGCUUCGGCGGGCCCGCCUCACGGCCGCCGGGGGGCACCUGCCCCCGGGCCCGCGCCCGCCGAAGACAUCAUUGAACUCUGUCUGAAGAUUGCAGUCUGAGUAGAUUAGCUAAAUCAGUUAAAACUUUUAGCAACGGAUCUCUAGAUCGG